UGACACUUACCUCUGUUUCCUGAGUCUUUCUCUGCAGUUGGAUAUCCUCCCUGAGCCUGGUGAUAAAUCAAAACUGUUGAAGUGGUGGUCAGUGUGAGCGCAAGCGGAGUUACCACAUCCGGCUCCAUUAGCGUUAGCUGCACAGUGACGUCAAUGGGCUGGAGGCUGUACAGAGACACACAGCGCAGGACACAACUCUCAGGACAGAGGUGCACGAGGGGUACCGAUAUCGCUUCACUGUGACCAGGAGGGAGCUGGUCGCGGGAGAACCGCCAGUGGAGCUGUGCACGGACGUAGACGUACCGCUGAUAUGCGAGUACACAGAUUGGGACGCGACCCACCUCUCCGUGCGAAGCGACAGUGUCAUGGUCAGAGAGUAUGGUUAGUCUGAAACAGAAAAUAAACACGCGUAUGUGGAUCCACCCCCAUAUUGCUGUGCAGAACUCUCAACCAUUCACUGGAAAGUAACCUUCCAUAACCUGUAAAUUAGUUCAUACGUUGUGGAUAAUGGUGGACUAUUGUGGACCCAGCUGCUAAAAUCUAAAAAGUCAUGACUUUUCCAGACUUACUAAUCAACCAAUACAGUGUAAGCUGUUCACUUCUCUUUUACCCAUGAUUCAUCCACUGGCGGGAAAAUGAUUACUGCAAGUAAGAGGAAAUCAAUAUCAAGUGUGAGACUGCGCUGACCAUGGUACAGAACAGGAAAAAUUUAGAUGUGCCCACUGGAUAUGAAUCUGACUUUAAAUCACAACAAAUGAUCUUCAGCACUAUAGUUUUAUGAAAGCCAACAUGAACUUUAAUAAAGAUUAUUGGCAUUUUCAA
Molecule: long non-coding RNA, 822 nt
Organism: Anguilla rostrata (American eel)
Lineage: Eukaryota; Metazoa; Chordata; Actinopteri; Anguilliformes; Anguillidae
Exons: 2
Source: RefSeq, a predicted model, not a curated record